CCUACGGGUGGCAGCAGUGGGGAAUAUUGCACAAUGGGGGAAACCCUGAUGCAGCGACGCCGCGUGAGUGAAGAAGUAUCUCGGUACGUAAAGCUCUAUCAGCAGGGAAGAAAAUGACGGUACCUGACUAAGAAGCCCCGGCUAACUACGUGCCAGCAGCCGCGGUGAUACGUAGGGGGCAAGCGUUAUCCGGAUUUACUGGGUGUAAAGGGAGCGUAGACGGCAGCACAAGUCUGGAGUGAAAUCCCGGGGCUUAACCCCGGAACUGCUUUGGAAACUGUGCUGCUGGAGUGCAGGAGGGGUAAGCGGAAUUCCUAGUGUAGCGGUGAAAUGCGUAGAUAUGAGGAGGAACACCGGUGGCGAAGGCGGCUUACUGGACUGUAACUGACGUUGAGGCUCGAAAGCGUGGGGAGCAAACAGGAUUAGAUACCCGAGUAGUC
Molecule: ribosomal RNA, 440 nt
Filed under: uncultured bacterium
Lineage: Bacteria
Description: partial 16S ribosomal RNA
Rfam family: Bacterial small subunit ribosomal RNA
Source: RNAcentral